AGAGUUUGAUCAUGGCUCAGAACGAACGCUGGCGGCAGGCUUAACACAUGCAAGUCGAACGGAUGUAGCAAUACAUUAGUGGCGCACGGGUGAGUAACGCGUGGGAACGUACCCUUAGAUACGGGACAACCUCGGGAAACUGAGGCUAAUACCGUAUAAUGUCUUCGGACCAAAGAUUUAUCGUCUAAGGAUCGGCCCGCGUUGGAUUAGGUAGUUGGUGAGGUAAAGGCUCACCAAGCCGACGAUCUAUAGCUGGUCUGAGAGGAUGAUCAGCCACACUGGGACUGAGACACGGCCCAGACUCCUACGGGAGGCAGCAGUGAGGAAUAUUGGACAAUGGAGGAAACUCUGAUCCAGCCAUGCCGCGUGAGUGAAGAAGGCCUUCGGGUUGUAAAGCUCUUUUGUCCCUGACGAUAAUGACGGUAAGGGAAGAAAAAGCCACGGCUAACUUCGUG
RNAcentral lists this ribosomal RNA (455 nucleotides) under uncultured bacterium. RNAcentral describes it as "bacterial SSU rRNA". It matches the Rfam family "Bacterial small subunit ribosomal RNA", at positions 8 to 507 of the family's 1533-position model. The record is from RNAcentral.